This 203-nucleotide long non-coding RNA is filed under the name Bos mutus (wild yak). Its description in RNAcentral is "lncRNA (ENSBMUG00000023289.1)". Lineage: Eukaryota; Metazoa; Chordata; Mammalia; Artiodactyla; Bovidae. The record is from RNAcentral.
GUUCUGUUUGCAGCUGGCCUGUUUGAAUCAAGAUCCAGACAAGGUCCACACACUGCAUGUAGUUGAAGCCUCUUGGAAAAAAUCUUCAGGUCCCCACGCCUUUGAACAUAGGCACAUCCAGCAAAAGCAGAUGAGAACCUGGCUCUGUUUCAAAGGUGAGGCUGUAAUUGAAAAUAGUUAGAUCAUGCGGCGUGCUGCUGUGG